Molecule: ribosomal RNA, 465 nt
Filed under: uncultured bacterium
Lineage: Bacteria
Description: partial 16S ribosomal RNA
Rfam family: Bacterial small subunit ribosomal RNA
Source: RNAcentral
CCUACGGGAGGCAGCAGUAGGGAAUCUUCCACAAUGGGCGAAAGCCUGAUGGAGCAACGCCGCGUGGGUGAAGAAGGUCUUCGGAUCGUAAAACCCUGUUGUUAGAGAAGAACGUGCGUGAGAGUAACUGUUCACGUUUCGACGGUAUCUAACCAGCAAGCCACGGCUAACUACGUGCCAGCAGCCGCGGUAAUACGUAGGUGGCAAGCGUUAUCCGGAUUUAUUGGGCGUAAAGGGAACGCAGGCGGUCUUUUAAGUCUGAUGUGAAAUCCUUGGGCUUAACCGGAGUAGUGCAUUGGAAACUGGGAGACUUGAGGGCAGAAGAGGAGAGUGGAACUCCAUGUGUAGCGGUGAAAUGCGUAGAUAUAUGGAAGAACACCAGUGGCGAAAGCGGCUCUCUGGUCUGUAACUGACGCUGAGGUUCGAAAGCGUGGGUAGCAAACAGGAUUAGAUACCCGAGUAGUC